AAAGUGAUGAUGAAAAGUUAUCCCUGGCUGAGCGUUGAUGAAACUUUCCUCUGAUUCUUCGA
Molecule: small nucleolar RNA, 62 nt
Filed under: Encephalitozoon cuniculi GB-M1
Lineage: Eukaryota; Fungi; Microsporidia; Unikaryonidae
Description: snR38 C/D snoRNA
Source: RNAcentral